RNAcentral lists this ribosomal RNA (496 nucleotides) under uncultured bacterium. RNAcentral's name for it is "partial 16S ribosomal RNA". It matches the Rfam family "Bacterial small subunit ribosomal RNA", at positions 28 to 506 of the family's 1533-position model. The record is from RNAcentral.
GAUGAACGCUGGCGGCGUGCCUAAUACAUGCAAGUCGAGCGAACGGACGAGAAGCUUGCUUCUCUGAUGUUAGCGGCGGACGGGUGAGUAACACGUGGAUAACCUACCUAUAAGACUGGGAUAACUUCGGGAAACCGUAGCUAAUACCGGAUAAUAUUUUGAACCGCAUGGUUCAAAAGUGAAAGACGGUCUUGCUGUCACUUAUAGAUGGAUCCGCGCUGCAUUAGCUAGUUGGUAAGGUAACGGCUUACCAAGGCAACGAUGCAUAGCCGACCUGAGAGGGUGAUCGGCCACACUGGAACUGGGACACGGUCCAGACUCCUACGGGAGGCAGCAGUAGGGAAUCUUCCGCAAUGGGCGAAAGCCUGACGGAGCAACGCCGCGUGAGUGAUGAAGGUCUUCGGAUCGUAAAACUCUGUUAUUAGGGAAAAAAAUAUUUGUAAGUAACUGUGCACUUCUUGACGGUACCUAAGCAGAAAGCCACGGCUAACUACGU